This is a long non-coding RNA of Neofelis nebulosa (Clouded leopard), 555 nucleotides long. RefSeq lists it as uncharacterized. Lineage: Eukaryota; Metazoa; Chordata; Mammalia; Carnivora; Felidae. The record is from RefSeq and is a predicted model, not a curated record. The transcript has 3 exons.
GAGAGGGAGACAGAGAAUCUGAAGCAGGCCCCUGGCUGUGAGCUGUCAGCACAGAGCCCGACGUGGGGCUCCAACUCAUGAACCAUGAGAUUGUGACCUGAGCCAAAUUCGGACGCUCAACCGACUGAGCCACCCAGGCACCGCUAUAUGUUUCUCAUUUAUAUGCUUCUACUAAGUCCCAGCCAUGGCGCCUUGCACUCGACAUGUGUCAUCCUCCAAACAACCCAGAAAGUUAGCCAUGGCACAUGGCACAUGGCCAUGGCAUGAAAGAGGGCAGAAGAAUCAGGUGUUACAUGCAUAGCCUCUGGAGUUCAAGUGCCUAGACUCAAACCCACUCACCUCCAUCACUAGGACUUUCUACGGUAGCAGAAAGGGAGUGAAUCCAGAAUCCAGAUUAAUGUGGAGACACCGCUCUGGGAAACUCAGCUUCCAAACCCACUCUACCACUUACUAGUAAGGCAACUCUGAAGACUUAUUUAACCCUUCUAAGAUAGUCCCCCCAUUAUUAAAUGGGGGAUUAUUAAAUGAUGGCUUAAUAAUAAUAAUUUUACAUAG